AGAGUUUGAUCCUGGCUCAGGAUGAACGCUAGCUACAGGCUUAACACAUGCAAGUCGAGGGGAAACGGCAUUGAGUGCUUGCACUCUUUGGACGUCGACCGGCGCACGGGUGAGUAACGCGUAUCCAACCUUCCCAUUACUGUGGGAUAACCUGCCGAAAGGCAGACUAAUACCGCAUAGUCUUCGAUGACGGCAUCAGAUUUGAAGUAAAGAUUUAUCGGUAAUGGAUGGGGAUGCGUCUGAUUAGCUUGUUGGCGGGGUAACGGCCCACCAAGGCUACGAUCAGUAGGGGUUCUGAGAGGAAGGUCCCCCACAUUGGAACUGAGACACGGUCCAAACUCCUACGGGAGGCAGCAGUAGGGAAUCUUCGGCAAUGGACGGAAGUCUGACCGAGCAACGCCGCGUGAGUGAAGAAGGUUUUCGGAUCGUAAAGCUCUGUUGUAAGAGAAGAACGAGUGUGAGAGGGGAAAGUUCACACUGUGACGGUAUCUUACCAGAAAGGGACGGCUAACUACGUGCCAGCAGCCGCGGUAAUACGUAGGGUGCGAACGUUAAUCGGAAUUACUGGGCGUAAAGCGAGCGCAGACGGUUACUUAAGCAGGAUGUGAAAUCCCCGGGCUCAACCUGGGAACUGCGUUCUGAACUGGGUGACUAGAGUGUGUCAGAGGGAGGUAGAAUUCCACGUGUAGCAGUGAAAUGCGUAGAUAUAUGGAGGAACACCGGUGGCGAAAGCGGCUCUCUGGCUUGUAACUGACGCUGAGGCUCGAAAGCGUGGGGAGCAAACAGGAUUAGAUACCCUGGUAGUCCACGCCGUAAACG
RNAcentral lists this ribosomal RNA (819 nucleotides) under uncultured bacterium. Its description in RNAcentral is "bacterial SSU rRNA". It matches the Rfam family "Bacterial small subunit ribosomal RNA", at positions 8 to 808 of the family's 1533-position model. The record is from RNAcentral.